This 584-nucleotide ribosomal RNA is filed under the name uncultured archaeon. RNAcentral describes it as "bacterial SSU rRNA". It matches the Rfam family "Archaeal small subunit ribosomal RNA", at positions 240 to 824 of the family's 1478-position model. The record is from RNAcentral.
UGUAGCGUACCUACUAGCCUACGACGGGUACGGGUUGUGAGAGCAAGAGCCCGGAGAUGGAUUCUGAGACACGAAUCCAGGCCCUACGGGGUGCAGCAGGCGCGAAAACUUUACAAUGCCGGCAACGGCGAUAAGGGGACCUCGAGUGCCAGGUUACAAAUCUGGCUGUCGUGAUGCCUAAAAAGCAUUGCAUAGCAAGGGCCGGGCAAGACCGGUGCCAGCCGCCGCGGUAACACCGGCGGCUCGAGUGGUAACCGUUAUUAUUGGGUCUAAAGGGUCUGUAGCCGGCCGGAUAAGUCUCUUGGGAAAUCCAGCAGCUCAACUGUUGGGCUUUCAGGAGAUACUGUCUGGCUCGAGGCCGGGAGAGGUGAGAGGUACUUCAGGGGUAGGGGUGAAAUCUUGUAAUCCUUGAAGGACCACCAGUGGCGAAGGCGUCUCACCAGAACGGACCUGACGGCAAGGGACGAAAGCUAGGGGCACGAACCGGAUUAGAUACCCGGGUAGUCCUAGCCGUAAACGAUACUCGCUAGGUGUCGGCCACGGUGCGACCGUUGUCGGUGCCGUAGGGAAGCCGUGAAGCGAGC